GGGGAUAUAGCUCAGUGGCAGAGCAUGUGCUCAGCAAGUAUGAGGUCCUGGGUUCCAUCCCCAGCACUUCCA
Molecule: transfer RNA, 72 nt
Filed under: Camelus bactrianus (Bactrian camel)
Lineage: Eukaryota; Metazoa; Chordata; Mammalia; Artiodactyla; Camelidae
Also listed under: 3 other names
Rfam family: tRNA
About the family: Transfer RNA (tRNA) molecules are approximately 80 nucleotides in length. Their secondary structure includes four short double-helical elements and three loops (D, anti-codon, and T loops).
Source: Rfam by way of RNAcentral